Molecule: ribosomal RNA, 505 nt
Filed under: uncultured bacterium
Lineage: Bacteria
Description: bacterial SSU rRNA
Rfam family: Bacterial small subunit ribosomal RNA
Source: RNAcentral
UAGUCCACGCCGUAAACUAUGAUCACUCGUUGUUGGCAAUACACAGUCAGCGACUGAGCGAAAGCAUUAAGUGAUCCACCUGGGGAGUACGACCGCAAGGUUGAAACUCAAAGGAAUUGACGGGGGCCCGCACAAGCGGAGGAACAUGUGGUUUAAUUCGAUGAUACGCGAGGAACCUUACCUGGGCUUAAAUGUAGAACGCCGGAUCGGGAAACUGAUCUUUCUUCGGACGGUCUGCAAGGUGCUGCAUGGCUGUCGUCAGCUCGUGCCGUGAGGUGUCGGGUUAAGUCCCAUAACGAGCGCAACCCUCAUCAUUAGUUGCCAGCGGGUAAUGCCGGGGACUCUAAUGAAACUGCCGGUGUAAACCGAGAGGAAGGUAAGGAUGAUGUCAAGUCAGCAUGCCCCUUAUGCCCUGGGCUACACACGUGCUACAAUGGACGAGACAAUGAGUUACAAAUCUAGCGAAGAUAAGUUAAUCUAUAAACUCGUUCUAAGUACGGAUUGU